Arachis stenosperma is the source of this 1756-nucleotide long non-coding RNA. RefSeq lists it as uncharacterized. The record is from RefSeq and is a predicted model, not a curated record. The transcript has 2 exons. Lineage: Eukaryota; Viridiplantae; Streptophyta; Magnoliopsida; Fabales; Fabaceae.
CUUGCCAUUUUACUCCAACGUCAGAGAGUCCUAGCUCUAAUUCUUCUCGGAGCUCCCAUUGUCCCAUCUAGCUGCAUUUCCCGUGCUCGUCAUCCGUCGCGUUCUCGUGUCGUUGUCGUCUGUCGCAUGCUCGUUGUCCCUCACAUGCGCCAUCACCAUCACUGCUCGGGUGCCUUGUCCACGGGUUGUCCACCAUUGCUGGUCGUCUGCCAUUAGUGGAUCCAUCGCCUCGCUGUGCCAGCCUUCGUCCCUCCCUUGCUACCUGACUUGCUGGUCAUUAUCCCCAUGUUUUUGCCUCUACAAUAACAGAUUUUUGUUGGCAAUUUAGAUGCAAAUGUUAUAGAUGAUUAGCUGUGACAAGUCUUUGGGCAUUAUGGAGUGUUAGUUCAUGUGAAGAUUCCAUCCGACAAGAGAUGUGGAUUUGUGCAAUUUGCCGACAGAUAUUUGAUGUUUGGUAUUUUAGUAUAUGUGUAGCGUUAAAUUACUUUUUUCAUAAGAAGGUCCUGCCUGUGAUAUGAUUUUUAAUGCAUCAGGAAUUAAGCUGAAAAGGCAAUGAGAGUUUUGAAUGGAACACUUUUAGGUGGGCAAAAUGUUAAACUUUCAUGGGGACGGAGUCCUUCAAACAAAUAGGUAAUAAAACUUGUCUAUAAUUGUUGUCUUAGCUGCAUGUGUCAUAAUAUCUUGAUGAUUAUUCAUGAAUUUACAUGAUUUUAGACUCAAAUAGACCCAAACCAAUGGAAUAGUAGUGGAUAUUAUGGAUAUCCAUAAGGCAAUGAAAAUUAUGGUUAUUUUCCCACUAGAUAGGACCCCAAUAUGUAUGAAAGCUAUCCAGGGUAUGCAAAUUACCAACCUUCUCAGUAGCAGCAACAAAGGGGAUAUAUAUAGUUAAGAAGCCAAACCCCGCUUUCCAUUUUUUGUUACCAUUCUAUAUUCCUUUGUACUUAUUUUCAGUUGCUUCUAUGUUCAUGGAAAAUUAGUCAACUUUAUUCCUUUUUUUAUUUUUCCUUUUUUUUUUUCUGGUUAGUUAUCUAUGGUUGCUAUAUUAGGAUUUAUAUUUGUUUUAAACCUUUGUAUCAAAUCAUGCGUGCAGGGUACUUUGUUGAUGUUCAUAUAUUUGAUAGAUUGGUCUAUUAGAUAUGUAUUUCUAAUUAAAAUUUGUUUUUCACAGGUAACAUUAUUAUGGAUUUGUUGAGUGCCGUAGACUGUUAUUUAUUUCUCACUUUUUCUUGAUCUUUUCAUCUUUUAAUUAUGUUUAUCAUUACAAUUUUUUAUUGUAUUGUGAUAUUGUCAUGUCUUUUAUCUCUUUCGAUUAAUUUAUGUUAAAUUAUUUAAAAAAAUCUCGUGUAAAUGUUAGUAUAUUUGAGAGAAGAAGGCAGGUUAGAAUAGACAGGGACAAAGAAAAGGGUAGAGGAAAGACUGCUGUUGCUGCAUCUUCUCAUCCAACAAUAACCUCUCCUGCUGCAUCAUCACAACCACGUACUUCCUACCACACCUAUUGCUGCAUCUUCACAAUCACUAUCCACCACAUCUGCUGUUGCAUCUUCUCAAAACCACCUCUCAUAGUUGCUAUUUCAGAUUCUUAGACUCUGAUCGUAGCUACUGGUGCUGCAGAUUUUGAAGCUCCUAUCAUAGUACCUCCUGGAUCUUCACAAGUUGUAUAAAAGAGAAUAGAAGAUGUACUGAGAAAAGAGAAAUCUCAGAGAAAUAUGAACCUAUUAUAGGUGGAAGACAAAUGUAUAUAAAAUUUUACAAUUUA